RNAcentral lists this ribosomal RNA (497 nucleotides) under uncultured bacterium. RNAcentral describes it as "partial 16S ribosomal RNA". It matches the Rfam family "Bacterial small subunit ribosomal RNA", at positions 28 to 507 of the family's 1533-position model. The record is from RNAcentral.
GAUGAACGCUGGCGGCGUGCCUAAUACAUGCAAGUCGAGCGAACAGAUGAGGAGCUUGCUCCUCUGACGUUAGCGGCGGACGGGUGAGUAACACGUGGAUAACCUACCUAUAAGACUUGGCUAACUUCGGGAAAUCGGAGCUAAUACCGGAUAAUAUAUUGAACCUCAUGGUUCAAUAGUGAAAGACGGUUUUGCUGUCACUUAUAGAUGGAUCCGCGCCGCAUUAGCUAGUUGGUAAGGUAACGGCUUACCAAGGCGAGGCUGCGUAGCCGACCUGAGAGGGUGAUCGGCCACACCGGAGCUGAGACACGGUCCAGACUCCUACGGGAGGCAGCAGUAGGGAAUAUUCCGCGAUGGGCGAAAGAAUGACGGAGCAACGCCGCGUGAGUGAUGAAGGUCUUCGGAUCGUAAGACUCUGUUAUUAGGGAAGAACAAAUGUGUAAGUAACUAUGCACGUCUUGACGGUACCUAAUCAGAAAGCCACGGCUAACUACGUG